AGCUCCAAUAGCAUAUAUUAAAGUUGUUGCAGUCACAAAUCUUGUAGUUGGAUUCCUGGCUGGACAUAUGGGUCUGCUCUUAUGAAUAUACACUAUAUAUACCUGGGCAUCCUUUGGGAGAGCCAUAGUGACAUUAAGUUGUUGGUAUGGGGAUCCUAAUCAUUGACUGUGAAUAAAUUAUAGUGUUCAAAGCAGGCUUACGCCAUUGAAUAUAUUAGCAUGGAAUAAUCACAUAGGACUAUUGUACUAUUUUGUUUGUGUGCACACAAUAGUAACGAUUAAUAUGGAUAGUUGGGGAUAUUUAUAUUCCAUUGCCAGAGGUGAAUUUCUUGGAUUUUUUGAAGACAAACUAUUGCAAUAGUAUUUACCAAAAAGGUUUUUCA
RNAcentral lists this ribosomal RNA (383 nucleotides) under uncultured eukaryote. Its description in RNAcentral is "SSU rRNA". It matches the Rfam family "Eukaryotic small subunit ribosomal RNA", at positions 587 to 973 of the family's 1831-position model. The record is from RNAcentral.